Molecule: long non-coding RNA, 309 nt
Filed under: Rattus norvegicus (Norway rat)
Lineage: Eukaryota; Metazoa; Chordata; Mammalia; Rodentia; Muridae
Description: long non-coding RNA NONRATT029684
Source: RNAcentral
GCAGAUGCCACCUCAGCAUGGCCCUCCCACCGGCCAAGAGCGCCCGCGGGCGGGGACAGGCUUAAAGGGACAGUAUCCUGUUCGGCCUCCCUGCCUUUCAUCCAAAUUCGGAACAUGGUCUAAGAAUGGAGUCCUGUGAGUGCUUUGAGAAGACUCUAAGGAAAGUCUUAUGGCCACAGUUUCUUCAGAAUGCAGAAUUUUUCCUGGACUGUGUUUUGUGUUCCUCAGGGUGUAGCAGAGUGAGUUUACUUCAGAUUAUUCAUUACUGCUUGCUGAUGUUAUUGAAUUAAAUGCUUAAACUAUCCUUUA